RNAcentral lists this ribosomal RNA (460 nucleotides) under uncultured bacterium. RNAcentral describes it as "bacterial SSU rRNA". It matches the Rfam family "Bacterial small subunit ribosomal RNA", at positions 355 to 804 of the family's 1533-position model. The record is from RNAcentral.
UGGGGAAUUGUUCACAAUGAGCGCAAGCCUGAUGACGCAACGCCGCGUGGGGGAUGAAGGUCUUCGGAUCGUAAACCCCUGUCGAAUGGGACGAAAGACUCGCGAGUGAAUACUUCGCGAGAGUGACGGUACCGUUAAAGGAAGCCACGGCUAACUCUGUGCCAGCAGCCGCGGUAAUACAGAGGUGGCAAGCGUUGUUCGGAAUUACUGGGCGUAAAGGGCGCGUAGGCGGCCCUCUAAGUCAGACGUGAAAUCCCCCGGCUUAACCUGGGAACUGCGUCUGAUACUGGAGGGCUUGAGUAUGGGAGAGGGAUGUAGAAUUCCAGGUGUAGCGGUGAAAUGCGUAGAUAUCUGGAGGAAUACCGGUGGCGAAGGCGGCAUCCUGGACCAUUACUGACGCUGAGGCGCGAAAGCUAGGGGAGCAAACGGGAUUAGAUACCCACGUAGUCCCUGAGCGGGC